Sebastes umbrosus (honeycomb rockfish) is the source of this 489-nucleotide long non-coding RNA. RefSeq lists it as uncharacterized. NCBI's taxonomy places the organism in Eukaryota, Metazoa, Chordata, Actinopteri, Perciformes, Sebastidae. The record is from RefSeq and is a predicted model, not a curated record. The transcript is spliced from 3 exons.
UUGCUCUAAUGUUGUUAUUGUGUGAGUGUGCCAGCCGAAACGCUCGGAUGAGACAGUCUGACAAUAACCACAGUAGAGCAAGAGGCGUCAGUGAAGCAGCUCAGGGCUGCAGGGAUCUGUCACAGAGUGCAGGAGCAGGACUCACUCCAAGGUUAACGCUGCUGAGAUUGGCUUGUUGGUGGACGUAUAGUGUAGUAGGGCUGGGAGAAAACAACAAUUGUAAGCAAAGACUGAUGGAGUGCUUUAAUGGACUCUCCCCUGUGGGACAGUGCUGGGAAAAAGUGGAAAGAGCUGCUUCAUGGGGGGACAGAGUAAAGAGUCUGCUGCAGAGAAUUCACAAUGAUCCAUUAGUUUGUAGAAUCUCUCAUUGAUACAACUACUUCCUGUUUAAGGUCAUGAAAAAAGCAGCACCCUGGUGCUUUAAUCUCCCAAUGACGUACAUGCACCAAUACUCCAAAAUAAAAGAACUCCCUCAAUUUUCACUCCCAC